RNAcentral lists this long non-coding RNA (1665 nucleotides) under Anas platyrhynchos platyrhynchos (common mallard). RNAcentral describes it as "lncRNA (ENSAPLG00000024032.1)". Lineage: Eukaryota; Metazoa; Chordata; Aves; Anseriformes; Anatidae. The record is from RNAcentral.
CAAUGUUUUUUAGCCUGUAAGUCAAACAUGCAGAAGCUCGAAACUUCCCUAAUUACAGUAACAAUUGAGCUCUUUCUCCAUUUGCAGUUUGAUACUAUGCUGGAACUUAGAAGCAUGCCUCAUGCAGUGUGUGCACCUUUUCCACUUGGCAUAUGCCUGGUUGGCUUCUCAGAGAGAGCAGUGUACUUCCUCCUCACCCACGGAAUGCUGUGCUGCUACCUUCGAUGCCAUCCUCAAACCCUUCUCUGAACAUGAACCCCGCAUUUCCUCAUAGACUUCUCAGGCCCUGUGAUAUUGGGGAUUACUCUGUAAAUGCAGCAGCUCCAGAAGGCAGAGGACACUCUACUCAGGUCUGUUGACACUGUCCUAUUCAAGCAGAUGGAAAAUAUGAUGGCUGUGACAGAAAGGACAAGCUUCUUUCAAGUCUUUUUUUUCCAACAAGGUAAGAAUGAGAAAUCAUUUCAAAUAAAGUCUUUGUUUGUUUGUUUGUUUGUUUGUUUGUUUUUAAUCUUUGAGAUGUGGGGGUGGAGGCAACCAUGAUUGUCCUCAGUUGUGUUUAAAAUGCAUGAAUAAUUUUGGCUGAUUUUUUUAAGUCAGUCUAGGACAUAAUUAUGACUUAGGAAGGCUUUAUACGAUAUCCUUGCAUUUUUGAGAAAUGUUAAAUGAUUACAUAAUUGUAGUCUAAGUAAUACAAAAUCUGAAGAGUUCUAGCAUAAGAGGGUGUUGUUACCUGUGCUUAAUCCCAAUGCUUUUGAAGGAGCCACAAUUCAGUCUAAUGGAAUACUCUCAUUUGCAUGUUCAUCACCUUUUAUAAUAUGUCAUUUAAUGUGUUUAAUAUUUUCUAUGCUACAAUAACAUUAAUUAUACAGUAAUGUUGAUAUAAAACUUGUUUCUGUGAUGUUACAAAAUUUCCUGUGUCAUGCAGUUUUGUUGAUAGCCAUUGCCCAGAUAAAAUGUACUGCACUACUGCAGUCCUCAGAUCUGUCUUCAUUCCUGUGUGUGACAUGCAGUCACGGUCUGUCGUGUGCCAGGAGCUAUGUGUGAUGUAUCAAGGAACAUGAUGGGAAGGAGCCACAGCACUGUGCCAGAGCUGGGACCUGUGCUGCCCCGCAACGGUCUGUUAGGAAGAGAAUUUGCUAGUAUGUUAUCUUGGCUCCUGUCUGGCCACAUCCAGAGGGAGCUAGUUUGUCAGUCACUGUUGUUAAGUCAGGAAGCCAAGUAAGAAAUAGAUGGUUAGAAGUUGAAAGAAUAACAAAAGAAGACUUCCUUGCCAAAAAGACAGAGCUCUGAGCAUUUACAGAAAAUUAAGCUUUAUAGAUAAAUUAUAAUUAAUGGUAUUUCAUUUAUUUGAAGGGACAUCAUCAAUAUCAUUGUCAUUACAUUAUAGCACAGUUAUUUUGAAAGAAUGUCUUACAACUUUCUUUAGGUAUGCUUUCAGUUCUUGCAUAGACUUCAAUUUACUAAUAACAUUUUUGGCAUUAACCUGAUGUUAUUUUACUUAAAUACAUAAAUUCUUAUAUAGUGCAAUUAAAAAUAUUUUCCUUAGUGCUUAAGCAUAAUUUUAAAAUCUGAAACUGCAUAUUAUCACGUUAAAAUCUGCAAUGCAGAAAAAAUUCUAGUAUUGACAAUAACAGAAUAAAAAGACAUGAGAAAGAGGGAAAUGCA